CGCAAUUGGGUAUUGACCUUGGCAAGAAAAAGUGCGAAGUAAAAAUACUGUUAUGGCCUUCAACUCGGCGCACUUCCUUUGCUUAGCAGAGAUAAACACCUCAAGAUGCCAGGUUUCUUAGUAAAUUUUUACCGGCGACUUUCGUUGUUUUGGUUGGUACGACGCCGGCUGGUGUCUUGCUCAUCAAUUUUAUUCCAUUUCUAGGAAACAGACCAGCCAUUGAGGCUAAAGCAAAUGAAAAGAAAAGACGAAACUGUAAUGAAAAUUCAUGUUUGAUUAGUUCUCGGAAAAAUUUUUUCUUUUUCCGUCUGCAUUGGUAGCCUCGACCAAUAAAGAUUUCUCAAUGGAGACAAUUUUUCUUGUAUUAAAGGUUGUUUCUUUGAUGGAAACACGAAAGCAUAUACUUUUCACGCAAUUCUAUAUUUGUGGGUGUGCUAAUCUUGUAAAGGGGCAAUGUUGUAGUGUAUUCAAAAUGUGGUAAAUAAAAUUAUUUAAAUUAAAAAUGUAACUUUUGAUAACAUUUGUGUCAUAUAAUCGUAAUCGUUUAUAUGAUACAGCUUCAAAGAAUGGCAACACUAAGAAGUGGUAAUGUCUGCCUGUGGUAUGCACGGAACCACGUGGACUAAAAUGGAUUCCAUAAAUAUCUAAUUCAAUAUUUAUUAUAAAUAAGGCCAUAUGUAUAUUUAAA
This is a long non-coding RNA of Parasteatoda tepidariorum (common house spider), 688 nucleotides long. The record is from RefSeq and is a predicted model, not a curated record. Lineage: Eukaryota; Metazoa; Arthropoda; Arachnida; Araneae; Theridiidae.